CCUACGGGAGGCAGCAGUGAGGAAUAUUGGUCAAUGGGCGAGAGCCUGAACCAGCCAAGUAGCGUGCAGGAUGACGGCCCUAUGGGUUGUAAACUGCUUUUAUACGGGGAUAAAGUGAGGGACGUGUCCCUUAUUGCAGGUACCGUAUGAAUAAGGACCGGCUAAUUCCGUGCCAGCAGCCGCGGUAAU
RNAcentral lists this ribosomal RNA (189 nucleotides) under uncultured bacterium. RNAcentral's name for it is "partial 16S ribosomal RNA". It matches the Rfam family "Bacterial small subunit ribosomal RNA", at positions 338 to 524 of the family's 1533-position model. The record is from RNAcentral.